UACGAAGGGUGCAAGCGUUACUCGGAAUUACUGGGCGUAAAGCGUGCGUAGGUGGUUUGUUAAGUCUGAUGUGAAAGCCCCGGGCUCAACCUGGGAACUGCAUUUGAAACUGGCGGGCUUGAGUGUGGCAGAGGGGGGUGGAAUUCCGCGUGUAGCAGUGAAAUGCGUAGAGAUGCGGAGGAACACCGAUGGCGAAGGCAGCCCCCUGGGCCAACACUGACGCUCAGGCACGAAAGCGUGGGGAGCAAACAGG
This 253-nucleotide ribosomal RNA is filed under the name uncultured bacterium. RNAcentral's name for it is "partial 16S ribosomal RNA". It matches the Rfam family "Bacterial small subunit ribosomal RNA", at positions 524 to 776 of the family's 1533-position model. The record is from RNAcentral.